GUGUUCUGAAAAGCAAUAACCUGAAAAUGAUACUUUGCAGAUCAACUUUGUCUGCGUGUCUCAAUCUGCUGAUAUCACUCCACCCAGGAGUCACUAUCCUGUCCACGUCCUGCCCUGCAAGCACCUCUGAGUCAUCAUCUGCUCCCAAUGACCUACCUGGGCUUUGCACCUUGACUGGUUGGAUACUGGCCUCUCUGGGAUACCUCAUCCCAACUGGAACAUCGCCGCCCGCCUGCAGUGUGUCACAGCCUUCCUCCAGCUUCUUCCUCCAAGCUUCAUCCUUCCUGCCUUCAAGGACCAGGGGAUCAGAUCUGUCUUGCAACCCAAGACAGUUUGUGGGGCAAGUAAAGACAAGAGGAGCUGUGCAAAGGUGGGUAUGACUGCAGGAGUACCCAUUUCAACACCAGCACCUCCUCCUCCCUACCCUUUUCUGCUGGCCUCCUUUCACUUGCUUCCCACACCAACAUAAGCCUACGUGACCUAAAUCUUUCUUUAUUUAGGUGAUACUCUAUGCAAAACCCAUCCACACAUUUAAAAGAUUUCUCAGAAGGUGAGACCUUACAUGUCUUGUGACUGGGGCAGGGAACAAGAUUCUUAAGCAGUGCCACUAAGAAAAAAUGUAAAACAAAGGGAAACUGGAGUUCUGACUCACACCUGCCUGCAAGCGAGGCAGAGGAUGGCUCUUAUGUGAGGAAAUUUACCACUUUGAAAGCCUGGGAAAUCAAUCGGAAGACAUGCUGGGAGUAUAGGAAAUGACAAAAGGAUCUCUCUUAUCAGACCAGGGACACAGGUGAAAGGAAAUUUUAAGCUGCAAAAAAGUCUUUGUUUCUGUAAUUUAUUUUCCCCUACGACAUGCAGUGAACAUGGCCCAGGAAUUCCCAAAGGGGAAAAUACAUCAAGAUUCAGAAAAAGACUAAAUGGAUAUGGACAGCAAGAAAAUCCACAUUUAUUAGAAUGAAUGGUGGUAAAAACGUCAGCAGGUAUACUAGAUGCAGGACACGCUUGAGUCAUUAGAUCCAGCUGGAGAGGAGAGGAGGAGGGUGGGAAGGCAGUUCCAGCUCCAGCCCUUCUCCAGCCUCCAUCAGAGUUUCCUAUGGCAGAA
RNAcentral lists this long non-coding RNA (1102 nucleotides) under Calidris pugnax (ruff). RNAcentral describes it as "lncRNA (ENSCPUG00000000355.1)". The record is from RNAcentral. Lineage: Eukaryota; Metazoa; Chordata; Aves; Charadriiformes; Scolopacidae.